RNAcentral lists this non-coding RNA (60 nucleotides) under unclassified sequences. RNAcentral's name for it is "pemK RNA". It matches the Rfam family "pemK RNA". The record is from RNAcentral.
AUAAUGAUACACCUGCACGUCAGUUGCAUGAGAUACCAUGCGAUGGUGAAAUUCCAGUGA